UUCUCCUGCCUCAGCCUCCCGGGUAGUAGCUGGGACUACAGGCAUCCGCCACCGUGCCCGGCUAAUUUUUUGUGUUUUUAGUCUGGGAUACUUGUGCAGAAUGAGCAGGUUUGUUACAUAGUUACACAUGUACCAUGGUGGUUUUCUGCAUCCAUCAACCUGUCGUCUAGGUUUUAAGCCCCGCAUGCAUUAGGUAUUUGCUCUAAUGCUCUCCCUCUCCUUGCCCCCAACCCCCGACAGGCCCCGGUGUGUGAUGUUCCCCUCCCUCAGAGUGACUUUUAUGGAAA
Molecule: long non-coding RNA, 287 nt
Filed under: Pan troglodytes (chimpanzee)
Lineage: Eukaryota; Metazoa; Chordata; Mammalia; Primates; Hominidae
Description: long non-coding RNA NONPTRT004019
Source: RNAcentral